RNAcentral lists this ribosomal RNA (421 nucleotides) under uncultured eukaryote. RNAcentral describes it as "SSU rRNA". It matches the Rfam family "Eukaryotic small subunit ribosomal RNA", at positions 592 to 1018 of the family's 1831-position model. The record is from RNAcentral.
CAAUAGCGUAUAUUAAAGUUGUUGCGGUUAAAAGCUCGUAGUUGGAUUUCUGUCUGAGGCGGCCGGUCCACUUUCUGAGUGAGCAUCUGGUCCGCUUUGGGCAUCCUCCUGGGGAACGUUUCCGCGCUUGAUUGUGUGGUACGGAAUCUAGGACUUUUACUUUGAGGAAAUUAGAGUGUUCACUGCAGGCAUACGCCUUGAAUACGUUAGCAUGGAAUAAUAAGAUAGGACCUCGGUUCUAUUUUUUCGGUUUCUAGAGCUGAGGUAAUGAUUAACAGGGAUAGUUGGGGGCAUUCGUAUUUAACUGUCAGAGGUGAAAUUCUUGGAUUUGUUAAAGACGAACUACUGCGAAAGCAUUUGCCAAGGAUGUUUUCAUUGAUCAAGAACGAAAGUUAGGGGAUCGAAGACGAUCAGAUACCAU